This 265-nucleotide unclassified non-coding RNA is filed under the name Hevea brasiliensis (rubber tree). Lineage: Eukaryota; Viridiplantae; Streptophyta; Magnoliopsida; Malpighiales; Euphorbiaceae. The record is from RNAcentral.
GUUAUAUGCUCAUUAGUAUAGUAAUAUUAAUCAAUGAAUAGAAUAGAAAUGUGUGUUUCUUUAGUUUGUUCUUUGUUGUUUAAGCCAGCAUAAGUUUUGCAAAAAUUCUUCGAUUGCCAGAAUACUGCUGUUGUUUAAUAUAAUGAUUACAUGUUUAAUCAGCAUAACCAACUGAUAGCCAUACAGUUUGCAAUGAUCCUAUUGGUGAUAUUCUGAUGGUGUUCAUUAACUAAUUUGAACUCACAAGACGAACUUGCAAUAUGUG